Molecule: long non-coding RNA, 370 nt
Organism: Siniperca chuatsi (mandarin fish)
Lineage: Eukaryota; Metazoa; Chordata; Actinopteri; Centrarchiformes; Sinipercidae
Exons: 3
Source: RefSeq, a predicted model, not a curated record
CUUCCCUUCAGCGCACUCAUCAAUAUCUGAAGAGAAGGGAGAGAGAAGGAGAGAGGGGGAGAACAAAGCUGGGUUAGAUGUGGAUUGCUAUCACAUUUCUAGUGCAACUGAAUCUUCGCAUUGAAAGGUGUCUCCCACAUCCUGGGAACCAUCUUGUGCAGUUGGUUCUCACUACAGAAGGUUCCUAAAGGCUUCUACGCUGCCAGUGGGAAAGGGCUAUUUGUCUUCAUCAGAGGGAGACAGAGGUCGAAAUGCAGAGGGUCCUUGAGGGUAUGUCUGGGGAAGGCAGUUCAACAAGCGAAAUCACUCUACACCCUCUCCACUUUCUUUAAUUCAGAAGAAAAUUGCAAGAACUGAAAAAGGAGUGUGG